AUAAUUUCCAUGACGUGGUCAAUGGGCGACCAAUAAGGCCCAUGACCCAGGUUGGUGACUUCCAUUGCACUUUGGAGGGGCGCCCGCCUAAGGUCAACCCAAGUGGUUGAUCCUACGUUUUAAUUUUGGCAGUGGGGGCUUGCAUUCAUGCGGCCCCUGU
Capsicum annuum is the source of this 160-nucleotide non-coding RNA. NCBI's taxonomy places the organism in Eukaryota, Viridiplantae, Streptophyta, Magnoliopsida, Solanales, Solanaceae. The record is from Rfam.